AUGGUGAUUGUGAUUGCCUUAUCAACCCAGAGACAGCUGUUGCCUGGUGGGUAUUAUAUUUCAAAUGAGAUUGCCAAUUGAGUGUCAUCGAUGAUUAUCAGGGGUCGAUGAUGACCAAGGGUCAAUCACACCAAGGCACUACUAGAUAGAGACACAUCGAGCCAAGAUUUGUCCAUUGAUGCGAAGCUGGUCAGCCAAAU
This 200-nucleotide long non-coding RNA is filed under the name Elaeis guineensis (African oil palm). RNAcentral describes it as "long non-coding RNA (EGUI_LNC015074)". The record is from RNAcentral. Lineage: Eukaryota; Viridiplantae; Streptophyta; Magnoliopsida; Arecales; Arecaceae.